CACGCAGGCGGUCUGUUAAGUCAGAUGUGAAAUCCCCGGGCUUAACCUGGGAACUGCAUUUGAAACUGGCAGGCUUGAGUCUCGUAGAGGGGGGUAGAAUUCCAGGUGUAGCGGUGAAAUGCGUAGAGAUCUGGAGGAAUACCGGUGGCGAAGGCGGCCCCCUGGACUGUAACUGACGCUGAGGCGCGAAAGCGUGGGGAGCAAACAGGAUUAGAUACCCCAGUA
This 225-nucleotide ribosomal RNA is filed under the name uncultured Pantoea sp. RNAcentral's name for it is "partial 16S ribosomal RNA". It matches the Rfam family "Bacterial small subunit ribosomal RNA", at positions 568 to 792 of the family's 1533-position model. Lineage: Bacteria; Pseudomonadati; Pseudomonadota; Gammaproteobacteria; Enterobacterales; Erwiniaceae. The record is from RNAcentral.